GAUGAACGCUGGCGGCGUGCCUAAUACAUGCAAGUCGAGCGAACAGACGAGGAGCUUGCUCCUCUGACGUUAGCGGCGGACGGGUGAGUAACACGUGGAUAACCUACCUAUAAGACUGGGAUAAUUUCGGGAAACCGGAGCUAAUACCGGAUAAUCUCUUGAACCGCAUGGUUCAAUAGUGAAAGACGGCUUUGCUGUCUGUUCUAGAUGGAUCCGCGCCGCAUUAGCUAGUUGGUAAGGUAACGGCUUACCAAGGCAACGAUGCGUAGCUGACCUGAGAGGGUGAUCGGCCACACUGGAACGGAGACACGGUCCAGACUCCUACGGUAGGCAGCAGUAGGGAAUCUUCCGCAAUGGGCGAAAGCCUGACGGAACAACCCCGCGUGAGUGAUGAAGGUCUUCGGAUCGUAAAACUCUGUUAUUAGGGAAGAACAAAUGUGGAAGUAACUAUGCACGUCUUGACGGUACCUAAUCAGAAAGCCACGGCUAACUACGUG
Molecule: ribosomal RNA, 497 nt
Filed under: uncultured bacterium
Lineage: Bacteria
Description: partial 16S ribosomal RNA
Rfam family: Bacterial small subunit ribosomal RNA
Source: RNAcentral